Molecule: ribosomal RNA, 253 nt
Filed under: uncultured bacterium
Lineage: Bacteria
Description: partial 16S ribosomal RNA
Rfam family: Bacterial small subunit ribosomal RNA
Source: RNAcentral
UACGGAGGGUGCAAGCGUUAUCCGGAUUCACUGGGUUUAAAGGGUGCGUAGGUGGGCAGGUAAGUCCGUGGUGAAAUCUCUGAGCUUAACUCAGAAACUGCCGUGGAUACUAUUUGUCUUGAAUAUUGUGGAGGUGAGCGGAAUAUGUCAUGUAGCGGUGAAAUGCUUAGAUAUGACAUAGAACACCAAUUACGAAGGCAGCUCACUACACAAUUAUUGACGCUGAGGCACGAAAGCGUGGGGAUCAAACAGG